UAGAAAUAGAGCUCGUGUCUCUUGUUUGGAGGGAAGAUGCGGAUGAUGAUAGCUACGUAUCCCAGGCUGAGUUGAUCCUCAGUGGCCCGUCGGGGUCUUCUCCAGCAAGGUCUUGUCCAGAAGGGGUUGCUGGCAGGUCCUCUGAUU
Long non-coding RNA from Gavialis gangeticus (Gharial), 147 nucleotides. RefSeq lists it as uncharacterized. NCBI's taxonomy places the organism in Eukaryota, Metazoa, Chordata, Crocodylia, Gavialidae. The record is from RefSeq and is a predicted model, not a curated record. The transcript is spliced from 4 exons.